This 420-nucleotide ribosomal RNA is filed under the name Fusobacteriota bacterium. RNAcentral describes it as "Fusobacteria bacterium partial 16S ribosomal RNA". It matches the Rfam family "Bacterial small subunit ribosomal RNA", at positions 355 to 776 of the family's 1533-position model. The record is from RNAcentral. Lineage: Bacteria; Fusobacteriati; Fusobacteriota.
UGGGGGAUAUUGCACAAUGGGCGAAAGCCUGAUGCAGCGACGCCGCGUGGGGGAUGAAGGCCUUCGGGUUGUAAACUUCUUUUGCUCUGAACAAGGCAUGCCUUUGGGGUGUGUUGAGUGUAGGGGUUGAUUAGCGCCGGCUAACUACGUGCCAGCAGCCGCGGUAAUACGUAGGGCGCGAGCGUUGUCCGGAAUUAUUGGGCGUAAAGGGCUUGUAGGUGGCUGGUUGCGUCUGUCGUGAAAGCUCAUGGCUUAACUGUGGGUUUGCGGUGGGUACGGGCUGGCUUGAGUGCAGUAGGGGAGGCUGGAAUUCCUGGUGUAGCGGUGGAAUGCUCAGAUAUCAGGAGGAAUACCGGUGGCGAAGGCGGGUCUCUGGGCUGUUACUGACGCUGAGGAGCGAAAGCGUGGGGAGCGAACAGG